Molecule: long non-coding RNA, 1723 nt
Organism: Podarcis raffonei (Aeolian wall lizard)
Lineage: Eukaryota; Metazoa; Chordata; Lepidosauria; Squamata; Lacertidae
Exons: 2
Source: RefSeq, a predicted model, not a curated record
UCGCGAGACUUCCCUGAGGCGUUGCCCCGGCAACGGCUGGAGGAAGGCCUGGCUGAGGCGGCUUCUCUCCUCAGCCGUUUUUUCUCUCUCCCUCCCUCCCUAUCCGCCUCUUUUCUCGGCUUGAGGGGAGGCGAAGCGGCCAGGCGUCGUUGCCAUGGAAGUCGAAGGGGCUUCUGAUUUUCCGCGGUCGGCGGUCUGCUUUUACCCCUUCAGCCGCCUCAGUCAGAAAUGGAGAGGAGGGGGGGACCCGACCCCCUCUCAGCGCCCCCCACCCCAAAGAAAAGCAUUGUUGUCGUUUAGUCGUUUAGUCGUGUCCGCCUCUUCGUGACCCCCUGGACCAGAGCACGCCAGGCACUCCUGUCUUCCACUGCCUCCCGCAGUUUGGUCAAACUCAUGUUUGUAGCUUCGAGAACACUGUCCCACCAUCUCGUCCUCUGUCGUCCCCUUCUCCUUGUGCCCUCCAUCUUUCCCAACAUCAGGGUCUUUUCCAGGGAGUCUUCUCUUCUCAUGAGGUGGCCAAAGUACUGGAGUCUCAGCUUUAGGAUCUGUCCUUCCAGUGAGCACCCAGGGCUGAUUUCCUUCAGAAUGGAUAGGUUUGAUCUUCUUGCAGUCCAUGGGACUCUCAAGAGUCUCCUCCAGAACCAGAAUUCAAAAGCAUCAAUUCUUCGGCGAUCAGCCUUCUUUAUGGUCCAGCUCUCACUUCCAUACAGCACUACUGGGAAAACCAACCAAGAAAAGCAUUGCCCUCCCCUAUUAUAGCGCUUUGAGGGGGGCUUAAAGCGCUUCUCCGUUAUCCUUACAGCAGCCCCGCAAGGCAGGACGGCGUUUUCCCAACGGAUUAUUCACGCUCACGUUUCAGAGGAACAAAAACAGUAACGUUUGCCUUGAAUUAGGCACCCUCUUCCAUUGUCUCCCCAGACAGACGGAUAACCACAACAACAUGCCACGGAGCUCAUGCCUCCCUCCCCAGAAGGCUCCUCCCUUCCAUCCUUGCACAACAGCCCCGCGAGGGAGGCCAGUCUGACAGCUGAAGUUGGCACCCGGGGUCCCUCAGUUUGCUUCCACUCAAUGAAUGUGCUUUGUUAAGAACAUAAGAAGAGCAUCGGCUCGAUCUAGUCCAGCAUCCUGUUCUCAUCGUGGCCGACCAGAUGCCUGCGGGGAACUUGGCCAUGGCUUGGGAAAGGCUGCGGCCAAGCAGCAGCAGCAUCCCAGUGGUGCCAUGGGGAAACCCAGAAUUUGCAAGUAUGCUGUGACCUUCUGUGGCAGGGGAAGUGUUUCCCAGUCAUCUUGCCAGCUGGAGGAGGCCUGAUUUCUAUAUUCCUAUAGUUUUACGGGAAGUGUUUAUCUGUGGUCCACCUGGGCAGGACAAGGACCUCUCCCAUGCCAACACCACAUCCCAAGAUUGGGCCUGGGCAGUUUUAGGAUGGCACGACCAGUGUGCUUACACUGGGCAUCACGCUGCAGAGGGUGCCAAAACAAUGCUGAAGAGCAAGAGGGAAGGGUGCUGAAUUUUAGCAUUGCACAGGGCACCUUUUAAAUUUGAGAGCCCAAUGUCCACUCUGGUUGGGAAUGCUUCUGUGGAGAUGAAUCCCAGAAUUCUCCCCACCCACAUUCUUCCUAUAAAAAAGCAAAAAAUAUCAAUGUUUGGUUCAGAAUCUAGGUACUACACCCUCACUAAAGGCGAUUGUAUGAAUGAUUCACUAAAUGAUGACAUGUGUAGCUG